UCGGGAAGUGCCCGAAGUCGGUGACCUAACUGCAAAGGAGGAGCCGCCGAAGGCAGGCCCGGUAACUGGGGUGAAGUCGUAACAAGGUACC
This 91-nucleotide ribosomal RNA is filed under the name uncultured bacterium. Its description in RNAcentral is "partial 16S ribosomal RNA". The record is from RNAcentral.